This 1823-nucleotide long non-coding RNA is filed under the name Taeniopygia guttata (zebra finch). Its description in RNAcentral is "lncRNA (ENSTGUG00000020845.1)". The record is from RNAcentral. Lineage: Eukaryota; Metazoa; Chordata; Aves; Passeriformes; Estrildidae.
CUCAGGCAGGGGAUGGUUGGGCACCUCUGCUGCUCUCAGUCCUGUACAGGCUUGGGACUGUGGGCUCUGCAGGGCCAUCACAGCCUCUGCAGCCCCAUCCAUCACUUUAUUGAUCACAUGGAGAUAGAUUCCCUUUAAAACUUCUCUUUUGCUGGUAGAUUUACUUUGCACCGAGACUUAAGUGUGAGUUAAUAUUCUUUUUGAGGGGAGAUAAAGGGCAGUGGAGAUCCUAGCCUAAAGAAUGUAGCCUGUGAAUUUUAUCCCUGCACUGCACAUACAUUUUGAUGGUCUUUGCUGUGUGUUUUAUUGAGGCUGAGUCAUAAGCAAAUCUUAGUGCUUUGGAAGGAAGGAAAUGGAGUUUGGGCAAGAACACGACACGUCACAAAUGGAUCCAGCAAAGGCACUGCUCAAGCUGUGAGAGCACAGUGACGUAUCUCAGCAAAAGGAGAACUGAAGGUCAAGAGUCCCUGUGCUGCAUUACAGUUUUCAUCACCUGAAGCCUGUCUGGACUCGGUGAUGUUUGAGAUGAGCCAAUCCUGCUCAUGUGCCUUCCCUCAGAAACAGUCCCAUAGUUAACAGGCACUGUUUCUGUCUUGUAUUUCAGUCCUGGGAUGGUGAACAUCUGCCCAAGGCUUGGGGCUGAAACAGUUGCUGGGGCUGGGUCAAGGCACAGAAUUUUUGACUGAGGUUGUUGAGGAAGGAGAGUGGAGCUCUUGUGCCAUGGAGGCAGGAGGUUUCCUUGGCAGCUGCCCUUAGGAAUGCUGCCUUUGCCUGGGGAGGAGAGGGGAGCCACACCAGCUGGCUGGGCAGCUUGGGAGAAGGUUUCCUGGGGAGACUCAGCCAUGGCUUGCAGCACAGCAUCCAGCCUGUCUCACGGAGAUCGGGGCACUGCAGAGGCGUGGGCAGAGCAGCCAGGCUCGGGGCUCCCCAGGGAUCCACUUGGACAGGCACAGCUGGCUGCAGCUCAAACGCCACUGACUCGCAGCCAAGCCUUCAGACAGGGUGAUGCCUAGCUUUGAGGUCAGAAGCCUUUUGAUCUUCUUCAUGGAGCUCACCAUGAGGGAGACACUUAGGUGUACCUAAUUCAAAGAUCUGCACCUUUCACCCCCUCUCCUUGGUGCAGGAUGCCGCUGCUGUCACACUUUGAGAGGCAAUGAAAGGCCAGAAACACACAUUUGUCAGGAUGCUUUUAUAGGAGCCACUGCCCUGCUGACAAGGGGCAGCCCAAGUGUGCUCCCUCCUGCCUCUUGGGCAGGACUUUGGGCCCUUCCUCUGCCUCCCUGGAGCUAUGGAAGGGCAGGUUGUCCUUGCUGCAGCCAGCUGGAAAACUGGAGAGUCUGAGGCCUGCAAUGAGACAGCAGCUCUUGAAGGGGCACUCAGUGCCACCAGAUACAGCCAGACCAGUGGGGCUAUGGAUUAAAUUAUCAUUAGCAAAGCUACCUAGCAAACACAGCUGCAGAAAUGUGGCCCUUUUCCUCCCCCUCCGUUUGGCCAGCUGAUGUUCCUCCUACAUGAUACAGAAGGAUUUUAUUUUACUCAGGUUCAGGCUGCAAAUCUGGCUGAUAUUGGAAGGGGCUUUGGGGGACAUUUGAUAUUUCUGAGGCCACGAGGGUCAUGUUCUUCCAGGCUCCUUCUGGUUUCUGCUCUUUCUUAGGAUUAAUAUUGCAGUAGGGAAGAAUAAAAGGCUCUUUCCAUCUCCAGGAUCUAAAAUGAAGGAACUGAGCAGACAGAAAAUGACAAAUUUCAUUUUAGAAAUAUUAAUGGUUGAAUUUAAUGAACUCUUGGCCUUAAGGAAUGAUAUCCAAGAGGUGCUACCCAGGCAG